AAAAAUGGCACUCUAGGGAUGCUUGACAGCUAUUUAUUUGAGAGUAAAGUACUUCUCAAGGUACAGUUGACAUAAGACACUGUGACAUACUAUACAGAAAGUGGUACUGGUGGCUAGAAUUUUGGAUGGGAGUGAAAACAACACAUUUGUUACUUUGGCUUCACAGUUUUUAUUUGUUUCAAGAAGAACAAUGUCAUUUACAGGUGAAUUCCAUUGGGUUUACACAUGUUCAUAUGAUGUAGCUGGAACUGAAUUGAGUGCCGUGGAGAGCAAAUGUAGGUUACCUUUGCAGGUUACAUUGGUAGAAUUACUAAGCCUUUUAUUUUAUUAUAUUUUAAGUAAUCAUUGGAAAAAUAUAAAGCGGUUAUCUUCAUAGUUAUACAUUUUUCAAUCAAACUGUGAUUAUUAAAUUUAAAACUUAAACUUUCAAGAGGGCAGAAACCCACUAUGAAGAUAGUUUCAUGCCACCUAAAAAUAAGUAAAAUAAUUCAUCUUAACAGCACAGUGCCAAACCAGGAAUAAGAACUAAAGAGUAUAAU
Mercenaria mercenaria is the source of this 539-nucleotide long non-coding RNA. RefSeq lists it as uncharacterized. Lineage: Eukaryota; Metazoa; Mollusca; Bivalvia; Venerida; Veneridae. The transcript has 3 exons. The record is from RefSeq and is a predicted model, not a curated record.